UCAGGUGAGUUUGGUGCAGGUUCUAAUUGAACAUCCUCGGGAGUCUCUAAUAUCUUUCUUACCGGUUCAACUCCAACUUCAUCACCACCCCAAGAAAGCACUACAUGUUAAUUGUGUUCAGGUUUAAUGAUUCAGCUCUCAAACUGCUGGAAAUGUGGGACGGGUUCUUUGCUUCACCAAAACUGCUUUAUCCUGGAGACGAGGUGUGAGGUGAGACUCCUGUCAGACAUCAGUCCUGUUCACAGUGUGGAUCCUUCAGUAGAUCAGAGAGCAGCUUCACUCCUGAUUCUCCUGGAUUUUUACCCUUCAGAUUCAGUUCUCUCAGGUGUGAUGAGGAGUUUGACCUCAGAGCAGAAGCCAGAGCAGCACAGCCUUCAUCUUGGACAGUGUGGAUUCUCCAGCCCAACAGAGAGCAGCUUCACUCCUGAAUCCUGCAGAUUAUUAUUACUCACAU
Molecule: long non-coding RNA, 454 nt
Organism: Ictalurus punctatus (channel catfish)
Lineage: Eukaryota; Metazoa; Chordata; Actinopteri; Siluriformes; Ictaluridae
Exons: 4
Source: RefSeq, a predicted model, not a curated record